Mustela lutreola (European mink) is the source of this 4020-nucleotide RNA transcript. It is a transcript of the gene named interferon alpha and beta receptor subunit 1, with no coding region annotated. The transcript is spliced from 12 exons. Lineage: Eukaryota; Metazoa; Chordata; Mammalia; Carnivora; Mustelidae. The record is from RefSeq and is a predicted model, not a curated record.
GCAGGGGCGUCCCCCUCGCGCUUAGGCUUGCGUCCCGUACUUCGGUGCUGCGCGAAGUAACCGAGGAUGUGACUUCCUUGGCCGGCGGUGGCCCGCGGACGAUGCUCGCCCUCCUGAGCGCGACGACCCUGGUGUUGGUCGCCGGGGUGCCGUGGAUGCUGCCGGCAGCCGCAGGAGGAACAAAUCUAAAAUCUCCUCAAAAUGUUGAAGUCUACAUCAUUGAUGAUACCUUUAUCCUGAGGUGGAACAGGAGCAGUCCGUCUGUCAGGAAUGUGACUUUUUCAGCAGACUAUCAAAUACUUGAAAAUGGCGCUUGGCUCCAAUUGCCUGGCUGUCAGUCUGUGGCCAGUACCGAAUGCAACUUUUCUUCAGUCAAGCUCAAUGUUUAUGAAGAAAUUAAACUGCGAAUAAGAGCAGAGGAGGGCAACAACACUUCUCCGUGGCGUUAUGUUGACUCAUUCACACUGUUUGAAAAAGCUCAAAUCGGUCCCCCAAAAGUACACUUAGAAGCCGAAGAUAAGGCAAUAAUCGUCAACAUCUCCCCGCCUGGAACAAAAGAUGGUGGCAUGUGGGCUUCCGAUAGCUCAGGCUUCAUCUACAGCUUAGACAUCUGGAAGAACUCUUCAAGUGGAGAAAGAAAGACUAAAACUGUUUACUCCAGAGACAAAAUUUAUGAACUCUCACCAGAGACCACCUACUGUUUAAAAGUUAGAGCAAGACUUUUGCCAAGAAAAACUGGUGCCUAUAGUCCCGUGUAUUGUAUAAAGACCGCAGUUGAAAAUAAACUGCCUCCACCAGAAAAUAUUCAAGUUGAAGCUAAAAAUCAAACCUAUAUUCUUAAAUGGGAUUACGCGCAGGAAAAUGUGACUUUUUACGCUCAGUGGCUCCACGCCUAUUUAAAAAAGAUUCCUGGGGACAAUUCAGGUAAAUGGAAACAAAUACCAAACUGCAAAAAUGUCCGAACUACGCAGUGUGUCUUUCCCAAAAAUACUUUCCAUAAAGGAAUUUACCUUAUCCGUGUUCGAGCAUCGGAUGGAAAUACCACAUCGGUUUGGUCUCACGAAGAAAAAUUUGAUACUCAAUUACAAAUUACCCUGUUUCCUCCGGUCAUUACCAUGAAACCCACUAACAAUGCUUCCCUGCGGGUCUAUAUCAGCGCUCCAGGAGAGUCGGAAAAUAAGCCUGUGAACCAUCUUUACCCACUAAUUUAUGAAAUUGUAUUUUGGGAAAACACUUCAAAUGCUGAGAGAAAAAUUUUAGAGAAAAGAACUGAUUUUACUUUUCCUCAAUUGAAACCGCUGACUGUAUAUUGUGUCAAAGCCCGAGCACUCAUUCAGGAUGAAAGGUGGAAUAAAAGCAGUGUUUUUAGUGAUAUUGUGUGCGAGAAAACAAAACCAGGAAAUACUUCCAAAACCUGGCUCAUAGCUGGAGUUUGUGCUGCGCUAUUUUCCAUCCCAGUUGUCAUCUAUGUCAUGAAACUUCUCUUUCGAUGUAUCAGUUAUGUGUUCUUUCCAUCAAGUAAACCUCCAUCCACUAUAGAUGAGUAUUUCUCUGAGCAACCGCUCCGGAAUCUCCUCCUUUUCACUUCCGAAGAACUGACAGAAAGAUGUUUUAUAAUUGAAAACACGAACACUAUCACGGCAGUAGAAGAGACUAACCAAACCGAUGGAGAGCACAAAAAAUACGGUUCCCAAACCAGUCAGGACUCAGGGAACUAUUCUAAUGAAGAUGAAAGCACUGGAAGCAAAUUCAGUGAAGAGUUCCUGCAUCAGGAAACCGAGUGACCAGAAGUAAGUUCUAGAAUGCUUGGGAGUUCUGGGGGAGCCGUGCGCAAAGCCUGGGCUCCUGCUCCCCUCAGUAACUGUGCAGUGGGUACCUGCUCAUUCGAGAAGGAGGACGUCUUUAGGUCACGGGCCAAAAACUACAGGCAAGCACUUACCUCUUGGACAGAAGUUUUCUCUAUUGCUUCCCAUGGGUAGAGCCUUGAAAGACCUGCCGCUGGGUGUAUCUGACAAAAUGAGUGAAAUCCAGAAAACGUUCUCAAAUGGCAUCUCAAGUUCCGUUGCGCUAAUGGCUUGUGGCAAAGCACACACGGUCACUGUGUCCCUGUCGGUGACACUGUCACCAUGUGCCUGUGGCUGCCCGUGUCGCCACUCAUCCUCUGUUCUGUGUUACACACCGUUCAGGAUUUUUCCGGAAGUAUUUUAGAUACUUUUGACACUGAAGCCUAGGCCCUCGGGAAAUUUCUUUCGCAAAGCUAGAUGUCAUAACCACUGGCAUUCUGUAAAAUAGCUUCCUCUGGAAAACAUCUGCAGGUGCCAGAAAUGUGACCCGUACAAUUUUCAGGGGAACCCUGUCCAUGUGUCCCCAAAACCUUGGCUCCUACAUCACAGUCACCUCUCCCUUCUGUGGUUUAGGAUUCACACCAGGACAUCCUUUCCCGAACACUAAUCCUUCCCGGCUCACAACCUAAUUCCCAACCUAGUGGAACAGUAGCAGCUUCUGAUGUGAAUCUGCAGUCAAUGAAGUGACAGAGAAAGGGACAACUGUCUAAUUAGAGAAGCUGUUAGGAUAUUUUAAGGUAAGGAAGUAUGUAGAAGUUGGUCACAGUGUCUACAGGAAGCCUUGGGACCAGAAAAUGCUCCUGACAGAACAGAGUAAGAAGCAGAAUCAUUCAGUAGGAGGAAAGCAGGUGACAUUCGUGAAAAAUAAGAGAAAUGGAUCUAAUCAGCUUUUAAUUAUUAACAUGCUAUGGGGUCGCUCAUGGUUGUUUUGGGGUUUCUUUCCUUUCUCAGUUUUAUUGAGAUGUAAUUGACAUGUAACUCCUCUGUGUCCUGUUUUGAACCCGGCCCUUCUCUGUGGGUGUCCCUUCUCCUAUGCUUCCAUGCACUAAGGAAAGGGAAGGUUCACUGUCACAGUAAGGAAGAAAAAUGUAACUGGAAGGAAAACCUAAGUUUAAGAAUGACAUGAUGUUUUUCCAAGGCCAUCUGGGGUGGACUCUUAAAUUAUUCAUGGAGACCCUUUGUAGAAAUCAGUCUAGGGAUUUGGGCGGCCUCCCAAGGGAAGGGAGAGAGCCACACAGCACGCUGGGACAUACGCCACCAAAGGCCAGUAUUAUUUCUGUCGUCGCCCCUGCUGAUGUCCCACGUUCAGCUGUGGGGGAGAAGAGAUGGAAGGCGCUGCUCUGGGACAGCUCCCCCCUCGGCAUCGCCACAGCUCCACGGAGCACACCGCGUGCUUUGCUGGACCCACAGCCCUGAGCACACCGCAUGCUUUGCUGGACCCACAGCCCCGGCUUCUGGCAGAGCAUAGCGGGGAUUUGGGAGUGAACCCAGAUGUGGGUCACAUCCCAUUAGGAUAGCCAUAAAGUACUUGCCAGGUGCCUGGGUGGCUCAGUGGGUUAAAGCCUCUGCCUUUGGCUCAGGUCAUGAUCCCAGAGUCCUGAGAUCGAGCCCUACAUCGGGCUCUCUUCUCAGCGGGGAGCCUCCUUCCUCCUCUCUCUCUGCCUGCCUCUCUGCCUACUUGUGAUCUCUGUCUGUCAAAUAAGUAAAUAAAAAUCUUAACAAUAAAUAGUUUGUAUCUUUUCCCCCACAUGUGACCUUAAAAAGCAGCCCUGGUUUACUCUUAACGAAUUCUAUGUACAAAAACCUUCCUUCUGUGCCCUUCCUGUGACUCCUCAACAUGUUAUGUUUGGUUUUUGUCUGGUAUCUGUCUGUCCCCCUCAGAGAUCAGAAGGUCUCUCAGCACAACGACUUUCUUUUAUUCAUCGCCGUAUCCCCAGUAUCCGCAGCAGUGCAGGGCCCUGCUCAUGGACGGUGCGUGGAAAGUUCUUAUCGAAUGUGUGGAAUCCACAAUUUGAACCAAACGAGUGCUUCUGACUGUUGUCUACAUGUUGGUUGAGUUGCAGAAGGACAAAACCACGUGUCCAGUGUUUCUUCGCAGUAAACUUGUACUUACGUUUUUGUUUUAAACCCUAUUGCCAUGAACAAUUUUCUGUAAUAAACACUGCAGCCAGAAGAA